UAACAGCUAGUUCUCACAUCUUAAUUUCAUCUAUAUCUCCAAGGUCUUGUGACUGGUUAGGAAAGUCCUCAGCACAACUUAGAGAUAAUGUAAUUAAGUUGCUUGAAUAGGCCACCCCAGCAGAGCAGUGACAGAGCUGAGAUAACGAGGUCUCAGAACAACCCAGUCUAGCACUCUAACCUUUAGACAAUUCCAUUUCUCCUUCACAGGUUUAAUUACUUUAAUGAAAAUGAUUGCUCAGCUCAAAAAUAUGCAACCUCUGAGUUAAGACUAUCUGAACCACAGAACUCAAUUAUUUUUAAAUGGUAUGACAGAAAUGAUAAUUAAAUCUGUUCCCAUAUAAUAAUGAUGAGAAAUGUUUAGUACUGCCUCUUACUGUCAAGUUAGAACAGACAACAAAUUUUGCUCUUUCUGUUUUACUAAGCUUAGUAUAUUUUUCCAAAAAUGUUUUAGGUUGAAGUCCCCUGGUCUCCAGACACAAGUAUCUACUUUGCUACAAAAGCACACCUGGAUAUAUAAGAGCAGUAAAGCAAGGUCACCUUCCUUUGCCACAAGAGGAAUGGGAUGGCAUGUCAGGGCUUUUCCCAGUGGUGAAACAGGAUGUACAGCAGGGAUGUACAGAACUCUUCUGCAACCACUACAUCUGCAACCCUGUUUUGAGAAUGGCUCCAAUGCCUUGAAGAAAAGCACUGUUACUGAAGUUUGUGUAUGACUAUGGAAGAAGAAAAUUUCUAGAGAAAAAGAUUCCCCUUGCUCCCAGAAUCUCCAUUUUUCUCCUGAGGAAUUCUUUUAGAAUCGUGUUUGUUGCAUCUCUUGCAACCCAAAGAACGCCUGAAGGAGAGAAGCCUGGCAUUCUCCCAAGCUUUCAAGUGAUGUAGUCCCGUGGGAGUGUGACUGAGACAGCCCAAUGACUCACACAAUUUGAUGGAACCAAUCAUCCACCAGAGGCUCUGCACAUCCACAUUUGGGAUCUCUAGAUCUUUCUUUUUCUUUGCUAGUUUUCCCAGUUGCUUCGCUCCCUGAAUGAGCUGGGAGAGGCUGCUGUGGUGUUCCUGCUGGGUUUGUGCAGAGCAGUGGCACAGCUGGAAUCCCUCACAAAGAAGGCACGUGGCCAAACCUAAAGCUGCUCCUACUGCAGGUACCCUAAACAGGAGCUCAGCUUGGGCUGAAUGUGUUCACCAACUCAAUGCAGGAGCAACCAAGAAGUGGCAGGGGUGCCGUUGCCUGGGGCAGCUGAGGGCAACAGAAUCACCACCACUGGCCCUGUUCCAGCCUGGCAGUGCCCCUUACUGGUGCCACCAGCAUUGAGAACUCUGCUGUAUGGCAUUUUCGAAAUGAGAAUUUUAGAUUUUGAAUCAGCUGUUACCUCAUGUGAGCUAUACAACACUACAGAUGGAUUAAAACACGUUUGGCACACUGCAGAAAUAGGUUUUAUAUAAUUGAUAAAACCAUGAAAGUACAGAUUGUCUCUGCCAGCUGCCACAGCAGCUGAAAUAAUCUGUGACAAUUACACCAGUCAGGAAACUUCACUAGCACUGAAAAAUGUGACCAAGCCAAAAAUGCUAAAAAGCCAUGGGAAUAGGUUUGUUACAGCACUGAAAGAUGCACUGUAAAAAAGACCAAUGAACCCAACAAACAAAAACCCACCACCACCACCAAAACCCCAAAACAAACCACCCCAAAGCCCCAAAACAAACCACCCCAAAGAACCCAAAACAAACCACCCCAAAGAACCCAAAACAAACCACCCCAAAGAACCCAAAACAAACCCAAAAACCAGGGCAAGCACCAAAGAGCUUGGAAUUAUAACAAUUUCCAGUGUUACUGUUUUCAUCUAGUUGAGCAGCUAAAGACACCGUUCCUCACCCUGCACUGCGUUUUGCAUCACCAGAAAUCUCAGGGAUUCAGAAGAAGAUGAUGACGGUUCCUUUGACAAUGUUUAUGGUCUACCUCAAAGGACUUUCCUUUUUUAUUUUUAAAAGGAUUGGUGUCCAGCUGAAAUGUUGAACUAUUUAAAGAAGUAAGAAGAGUGACUUCCACUAAGACUAAUCCUUACUCAACAAAAACAACUUACUUAUUUACUGCCAUACAUUCUAACUAUAAACUGUAGCUGUUAAUUUAUCAAUAAUUCUCUGCAAUCAUCUUUAAACUGAUUAGCAUUUUAUUUUCUGCUAAUGCUAAUAUACUCUCUGGAUGAUGCAGAUUUACCACAAGGUCAAAACAAGGCUGAGCCAUAACAAAUAGUGGUAUUGCUUUUCAUGGAUGAAAUUCAAUAUCAGAUGAUUUAUGGAUGGCAGAGUGUAAAUAUUGCUGCCCAUGUUAGAUGGGAUAUCCUACUCCUCAUCUGGCUCUUUCUCUUGGGAGUUCUAGUGGCAUGUUAAGGACAUCUGCUUAUGUUAGAAGAAAAAUAAUCCAUUUCCUGGAGAAACUAUCAUUACCCUCCCAUUCAAGGACAGUAAUGCUCUCCUACAUCUCAGGAAGAAGUAAGUGCUUCAUAAUUCCCUCAGAAAAACAAAUUAUAUACUAAUUGAAAACAAAACAAAAUCCUAAAUGUAGAGUGCUGCAUUUAUUUUUAUUCAAGUAUCUCUUAUAGUUCUAGCUCAUUUCUUCAGUUAGCCAUGACAUUUCUGAACUCUGAUCUUAUACACCAAGAUACAAGUUCAAUAACCAUUUUCUCUUUCCAUCUUUCAAGCUGUUUAUGAAAAUAUUGAAUACUGAAUUUCUUAUGACAAGAAGUGUGCUUGUGAAUCUCACUGUGUUCUUCUUCUCUUUAUAUUGCCACAUAAAUGGCAAUAUAUAAGACAUAACUACACAGAAAUUAUUUAGCCUGCUUCUAUCUCUUGUAUCUAGACCAUACAAUCUAGAAAAUAUAUGAGAUAAAAGCCUUAUUUAAGUCAAGAGGUGGUGUGUGCUGCUUCUGUGCCAUGGACAACUGUUUUCCCCAUCACAAAAGUAAAUAUUGAUUUGACAUGAUUUACUUCUGACUAAUCUGUGCUGACUCUUGCUCAUCUCCACUCACACAAAGCAUUUGUUUUGGUAUCUUUCUGACAGUUAAAAUAUUUACUGUAAUCCUGUUUUCUUACUAGAAAGAACCCAAAACUGAAACAAUAACUUCCUAAUUCUGGAAGAGUGUCAUUAAAAGGAUAAUGUAAGGUACUCAAACCAGUUUUCCAAAUAGUACAAGAUGAAUUUUCUAAUUUGGUUAAUUUAACUUUCUACAUGGUUUGUUCUUUAGUGUAACUUCAGGUCUAAAAAUUUUUCAGCUGCAUACAAUGAAGUUUCUUUGUGAAAACUAAAGAAAAAGACAUCACUAAAAUUUCCUUUUUCAAUACCCCUCAUAAGAAGGAGAAUUUAAAGACUUCAGAUAAGUAUGAUCAAAGUCUAAGAGAUCUUGUGAGAUUAUGAUACUAAAUAUUGGGAUCCAUCUACAAAUUAUUUAAUUGUAAAUUCCUUAAAGAUGUCCUUACAAAGAUCACCUCUUGUGGAAUACAGAAGUAUUCCUAGAAGAUGAAGCUGAUCACUGCUGUGAUCACUGCCAGAUGCUCCUUUUAUAUGAACAACUAAUAAUUUACCUUAAGCAUGAGGAUGGUGGCUCAGAUGUGAUUUAUGGGGAAAAAAAGAGAUUAAAUAUUAAAAAUGGCAAGAUAUGAAUGAUUUAGUCAAGGCAGCAAACGACUUCCCUGUUGGGCUGUAAAUCUGGGUUCUGAAACUGUUUCAGAGGAACAGUGUACAUGCAUUCUGAAAGACUUUGAAUCUUUUUCUAUAUUGCAUUACACGUCUCAGCAACAUGCAGACAUCUUCCAAUACCUCAAGUAAGCAAAACUGGUGUCAGUAUUACUAUAUUUGCAGUGCUACAACAACAGGAGCUAUUUCUGAAUACUCUCACAGCAGUGAAUUUAUCCAAAUUUAGG
Molecule: long non-coding RNA, 3911 nt
Organism: Myiozetetes cayanensis
Lineage: Eukaryota; Metazoa; Chordata; Aves; Passeriformes; Tyrannidae
Exons: 3
Source: RefSeq, a predicted model, not a curated record